AUGAACGCUGGCGGCGUGCCUAAUCCAUGCAAGUCGAGCGAACAGACGAGGAGCUUGCUCCUCUGACGUUAGCGGCGGACGGGUGAGUAACACGUGGAUAACCUACCUAUAAGACUGGGAUAACUUCGGGAAACCGGAGCUAAUACCGGAUAAUAUAUUGAACCGCAUGGUUCCAUAGUGAAAGACGGUUUUGCUGUCACUUAUAGAUGGAUCCGCGCCGCAUUAGCUAGUUGGUAAGGUAACGGCUUACCAAGGCAACGAUGCGUAGCCGACCUGAGAGGGUGAUCGGCCACACUGGAACUGAGACACGGUCCAGACUCCUACGGGAGGCAGCAGUAGGGAAUCUUCCGCAAUGGGCGAAAGCCUGACGGAGCAACGCCGCGUGAGUGAUGAAGGUCUUCGGAUCGUAAAACUCUGUUAUUAGAGAAGAACAAAUGUGUAAGUAACUAUGCACGUCUUGACGGUACCUAAUCAGAAAGCCACGGCUAACUACGUG
RNAcentral lists this ribosomal RNA (496 nucleotides) under uncultured bacterium. RNAcentral's name for it is "partial 16S ribosomal RNA". It matches the Rfam family "Bacterial small subunit ribosomal RNA", at positions 29 to 507 of the family's 1533-position model. The record is from RNAcentral.